Molecule: non-coding RNA, 24 nt
Filed under: Arabidopsis thaliana (thale cress)
Lineage: Eukaryota; Viridiplantae; Streptophyta; Magnoliopsida; Brassicales; Brassicaceae
Source: RNAcentral
ACACAAGCACAUUAGAAAGAUGGU